UACAGAGGUGGCAAGCGUUGUUCGGAAUUACUGGGCGUAAAGGGCGCGUAGGCGGGAUGGCAAGUCGGUCGUGAAAUCCUUCGGCUCAACCGAAGAACGUCGAUCGAUACUGCUGUUCUUGAGGGUUGCAGAGGAGACUGGAAUUCCCGGUGUAGCGGUGAAAUGUGUAGAGAUCGGGAGGAACACCGGUGGCGAAGGCGGCUCACUGGCCCGGUACUGACGCUGAGGUGCGAAAGCGUGGGGAGCAAACAGG
Molecule: ribosomal RNA, 253 nt
Filed under: uncultured bacterium
Lineage: Bacteria
Description: partial 16S ribosomal RNA
Rfam family: Bacterial small subunit ribosomal RNA
Source: RNAcentral